Molecule: ribosomal RNA, 827 nt
Filed under: Microbacterium sp.
Lineage: Bacteria; Bacillati; Actinomycetota; Actinomycetes; Micrococcales; Microbacteriaceae
Description: bacterial SSU rRNA
Rfam family: Bacterial small subunit ribosomal RNA
Source: RNAcentral
CGAACGGUGAAGCCCAGCUUGCUGGGUGGAUCAGUGGCGAACGGGUGAGUAACACGUGAGCAACCUGCCCCUGACUCUGGGAUAAGCGCUGGAAACGGCGUCUAAUACUGGAUAUUUGCUUCCACCGCAUGGUGGGGGUUGGAAAGAUUUUUUGGUUGGGGAUGGGCUCGCGGCCUAUCAGCUUGUUGGUGAGGUAAUGGCUCACCAAGGCGUCGACGGGUAGCCGGCCUGAGAGGGUGACCGGCCACACUGGGACUGAGACACGGCCCAGACUCCUACGGGAGGCAGCAGUGGGGAAUAUUGCACAAUGGGCGGAAGCCUGAUGCAGCAACGCCGCGUGAGGGAUGACGGCCUUCGGGUUGUAAACCUCUUUUAGCAAGGAAGAAGCUUUCGGGUGACGGUACUUGCAGAAAAAGCGCCGGCUAACUACGUGCCAGCAGCCGCGGUAAUACGUAGGGCGCAAGCGUUAUCCGGAAUUAUUGGGCGUAAAGAGCUCGUAGGCGGUUUGUCGCGUCUGCUGUGAAAUCCCGAGGCUCAACCUCGGGCCUGCAGUGGGUACGGGCAGACUAGAGUGCGGUAGGGGAGAUUGGAAUUCCUGGUGUAGCGGUGGAAUGCGCAGAUAUCAGGAGGAACACCGAUGGCGAAGGCAGAUCUCUGGGCCGUAACUGACGCUGAGGAGCGAAAGGGUGGGGAGCAAACAGGCUUAGAUACCCUGGUAGUCCACCCCGUAAACGUUGGGAACUAGUUGUGGGGUCCUUUCCACGGAUUCCGUGACGCAGCUAACGCAUUAAGUUCCCCGCCUGGGGAGUACGGCCGCAAGGCUAAAA